AGGGAUAUCGCCAAGCGGUAAGGCACCACACUUUGACUGUGGCACUCGUAGGUUCAAAUCCUGCUAUCCCUGCCA
Molecule: transfer RNA, 75 nt
Filed under: Clostridium sp.
Lineage: Bacteria; Bacillati; Bacillota; Clostridia; Eubacteriales; Clostridiaceae
Also listed under: 2 other names
Description: tRNA-Gln
Rfam family: tRNA
About the family: Transfer RNA (tRNA) molecules are approximately 80 nucleotides in length.
Source: RNAcentral